This 390-nucleotide long non-coding RNA is filed under the name Setaria viridis. RNAcentral describes it as "long non-coding RNA (SVIR_LNC006438)". Lineage: Eukaryota; Viridiplantae; Streptophyta; Magnoliopsida; Poales; Poaceae. The record is from RNAcentral.
CACGAUAAUGUUUUCAUAUACAACUCGGUAUAAUCCAUAUCCGAAUGGUGAUCUAUAUACAAUUCGGUAAACAUUUUUCAAAUUUAUCAGGAUUCGAUCUACAAGAAUACAAAUAGCAUGUCAAGACUUAAGUUCAACAAUUAAGUGUAAAAGUUGCAUAAAUUACAAUACAAACUGUUCAAUAUUAGGUCCAAAAUAUACAUAAAAGAAGCUUACACACCUACAAUAUAUAGUUCAAGAUCGAUGGUUACCAAGUUACUUCUUGUCUAGCCUACGCUUUCUAAAGAUCAUGGAAGUUUUGAUUAUACCAUCUUCAUCCACUUAGAAGAAAAUAUCCUCUUUAUUGUUCAAUAAUUGUCUGGACAAAAUACCAAUGCAUCAACCGUACCC